AGCGAACGCUGGCGGCAGGCCUAACACAUGCAAGUCGAACGAACCUUUCGGGGUUAGUGGCGGACGGGUGGGUAACACGUGGGAACGUGCCUUUAGGUUCGGAAUAACUCAGUGAAACUUGUGCUAAUACCGAAUGUGCCCUUCGGGGGAAAGAUUAAUCGCCUUUAGAGCGGCCCGCGUCUGAUUAGCUAGUUGGUUGAGGUAAUGGCUCACCAAGGCGACGAUCAGUAGCUGGUCUGAGAGGAUGAUCAGCCACAUUGGGACUGAGACACGGACCAAAAUCCUACGGGAGGCAGCAGUGGGGAAUCUUGCGCAAUGGGCGAAAGCCUGACGCAGCCAUGCGGCGUGAAUGAUGAAGGUCUUAGGAUUGUAAAAUUCUUUCACCGGGGACGAGAAUGACGGUACCCGGAGAAGAAGCCCCGGCUAACUUCGUG
This 434-nucleotide ribosomal RNA is filed under the name uncultured bacterium. RNAcentral describes it as "partial 16S ribosomal RNA". It matches the Rfam family "Bacterial small subunit ribosomal RNA", at positions 29 to 507 of the family's 1533-position model. The record is from RNAcentral.